UACGGGGGGGAGCAAGCGUUGUUCGGAUUUACUGGGCGUAAAGCGCCCGUAGGCGGCCUGACAAGUUGGACGUGAAAGCUCCUGGCUUAACUGGGAGAGGCCGUUCAAAACUGUCAAGCUAGAGUCUGGAAGAGGAGAGCGGAAUUCCCGGUGUAGUGGUGGAAUGCGUAGAGAUCGGGAGGAACACCAGUGGCGAAAGCGGCUCUCUGGUCCAAAACUGACGCUGAGGGGCGAAAGCGUGGGGAGCGAACGGG
This 254-nucleotide ribosomal RNA is filed under the name uncultured bacterium. Its description in RNAcentral is "partial 16S ribosomal RNA". It matches the Rfam family "Bacterial small subunit ribosomal RNA", at positions 524 to 776 of the family's 1533-position model. The record is from RNAcentral.